GUAUAAAGUAGGCGAACGGCUGAGUAACACGUGGGCAACCUGCCCUUUGCACUGGGAUAGCCUCGGGAAACCGAGGUUAAUACCGGAUACUCCAUAUUUGUCGCAUGGCGAAUAUGGGAAAGCUCCGGCGGCAAAGGAUGGGCCCGCGGCCUGUUAGCUAGUUGGUGGGGUAGUGGCCUACCAAGGCAAUGAUGGGUAGCCGGGUUGAGAGACCGACCGGCCAGAUUGGGACUGAGACACGGCCCAGACUCCUACGGGAGGCAGCAGAA
This 269-nucleotide ribosomal RNA is filed under the name uncultured Atopobium sp. RNAcentral describes it as "partial 16S ribosomal RNA". It matches the Rfam family "Bacterial small subunit ribosomal RNA", at positions 87 to 354 of the family's 1533-position model. Lineage: Bacteria; Bacillati; Actinomycetota; Coriobacteriia; Coriobacteriales; Atopobiaceae. The record is from RNAcentral.